CAGACGACUAAUGAUCAGAUCAACAGCACCGUAACAUCGCAUUUUCGAAUUGUUUGCAGCUCGAAUGGAACGUGAUCUCGAGGUGUCAAUCACGAUGCCAUAAGUCCGGGCAAGAUCAGCUGAGAUCAAUGACUCUGUUGCACCCGUGUCUGGCAAGAUGUCCAUUGUAAAAGGUGUGCCACUUGGAGGAAGAACAUGGACAUCGAUGGUCGGGGUGGGACGAGCCUUGAACAUGUUGACGCGGAUGAUGGAGGAAGUGAUGGGAUUCGUGUUCUGGGAUAGACGAUCCCGGGAUUUAGAUCUUCCACGCCAGAUUUUACCGCCUUGACAAACAGACGCAAAGUGACCUGGUUUUUGGCACUUGCUGCAUGUCUUGUUUAGAGCUGGACAAUGCUCUCGGGAGUUUCCUCCACGGAGGAUGUGGCUGCAAUCAUGAUUGGGGUUAGAUCAUUUGAAAUUGAUCUUUCCGCGGUCGUUGCAGACUCCCAUGCCAUUGCAGUUCGGUGAAGAAGAUCACGAGAGGGGUCGGAUUGACGAAGGAAUUCUUCACGAAGUCGGCGGUCGGAAAUCCCAGUGACCAAUCGGAGAAUAUAGAGGUCGUCCUCUUCGAUCGUGUCCAAUUCAGCUUCCUGGCCCUCCAAUUGUAAACGAAGAUACCAGUCACUGAAUUUUUCUCCAGGCUGCUGAUCACAUCGAAAGAAAUUGUAUCGGCGUGUUAGAAGCGGUAUGUGCUGGACGAAAAUUUCCCGUAACUCUGCAAUACAUCCCUGGCUCCCCAGGAUCGGAGUGUCAUCCUUGGUUUUGGUGGAGAGCAUCUGCUGGAGUUUGAGGUCGAGGCAGGAAUGGAGAUAGCCUCGCUGUUCCCCAAGAGGGAAAGUGUCCAUGUGGUUGGACGAGUAGAACAAGGGCAAGGUUGAUCUUGGAGAUGUUUUGGUGGUUGGAGCUUGACGAAUCUGGUCGACUUGGCCGUGCCUGAGCACGAACAGAGGUGGAAGUUUUGAGAAUGCGUUCCUGGAGCUUGGAAACAUCCUUGGAGAAUUUCGUGACAUGGGAAUCCUCUUUGGUGAAUGACUCACCAUCCAAAUGUCCGCUUGACGAUGCCAGUACUUCUUCCAGAGUGUUCAGGGAGUCCUCGACUUUGGCAAAGAGGCCAUUAAUCCUCUCUACCAUGGAGAUAUCCCAAUCAGAUGUGUCCAACGAAUCCACAUCGGAAAGGAAGGAGUCGCAAGUGUUGAAAUGCCGUGAGAAGACGCUCCUCCUUGAGAUCAGUGAUUGUUUAGCCGAGUCCAUGAUAUAACGUACGGUGAGUCGUGAGUGGUGGAAUAAUUGAACCACGGGUAAGAUUCGUGAAGGAUGUGCGGAGCGUCAGGACGGUUGGGGCACA
Long non-coding RNA from Tigriopus californicus, 1384 nucleotides. RefSeq lists it as uncharacterized. Lineage: Eukaryota; Metazoa; Arthropoda; Copepoda; Harpacticoida; Harpacticidae. The record is from RefSeq and is a predicted model, not a curated record. The transcript has 3 exons.